RNAcentral lists this long non-coding RNA (884 nucleotides) under Chrysolophus pictus (golden pheasant). RNAcentral describes it as "lncRNA (ENSCPIG00010002387.1)". The record is from RNAcentral. Lineage: Eukaryota; Metazoa; Chordata; Aves; Galliformes; Phasianidae.
GCCGAGUUGAUUUCGGGUAAAACUAUGGAGAAAAACCCUGCUCUACGCUCUGCCCCCGGGAUGCCGUGCCCGGACCCAGCCCGAACGUUCCGUCCCUUUUUCUCCACCUCCAUUGUCCUCAGAAAAUCACGGAACCGAAAAUCAGCGCCUUUGGCAUCACGGGGCCCCCGAUGACGCCGUCAGGCGGGAGCCAAUGGCAAAAAUCCACUUGCUAUUAAUUUCCUCAACGCUUUCCAUUGGCGCGUGACCUCGCCAGACCUCUCUCUGAAGUCAGGGGUUAUUUUUUGAUCGAAUCCUCAGCCCAUGUGUCGGAGGCCGCGGAGGCCGGGGUUCCGAGCGCAAGGCAGCCGGCGGCACUCGGCACCUGUCAGCGCGGCUCCCCCUGACCUUUCCGAUUUUUUUCCGCCCGGCGGCGGGGGGGGAGGGGCCGGGCCGGGCCGGGCCGGGACGGGAGAAGAAGCCGAGCGAGGGAGAGGCGUCGAGGGACAGCGGGGAGGGAGCUCUCCCUCGGCCCCGACGCCGCCGCCCACCACCCGCAUCCCUCGGUUGAGAGCAGACGGUGCCCGCUGAGGGGCGGACGGAAAGCUCUCCCGGAGAGGCGGGGGGGGGGGGGGAGCGCCGGCUGGGUGGGGGGGAGGAGAGCCCGGGCUUGGUGGAGAUCCUCCCCGCUGCCGUGCUGCCCCGCUCGGAGCCCCGUCUGUGUCCCCUCGGCCGGCGGUCCCGUUCCCGGCUUCCCUGUCCCCCCGCUCGCACCGCUAUUUCCUCCCGGGUCUCUCGCAAAAAAACCGCCUUUCUUCUUGUAAUCUCCGAGUAACUACCGAAAUUCCCGAGAACAAACACGACCGAUGAAUAAAGAAAAUUUCAACCCACUGCUAAGAAUAUUA